CCGAGAAUAGCUCAGCUGGUAGAGCGGGAGACUGUAGUUUCACGCGAUAUCUCUAGGUCCCUGGUUCAAUUCCGGGUUCUCGGA
RNAcentral lists this transfer RNA (84 nucleotides) under Tieghemiomyces parasiticus. It matches the Rfam family "tRNA". From Rfam's summary of the family: Transfer RNA (tRNA) molecules are approximately 80 nucleotides in length. Their secondary structure includes four short double-helical elements and three loops (D, anti-codon, and T loops). The record is from Rfam by way of RNAcentral. Lineage: Eukaryota; Fungi; Kickxellomycota; Dimargaritomycetes; Dimargaritales; Dimargaritaceae.